AGGUUUCCCAUUGGUUAUUUGGUUACACUCUACGUAAAUGAAGAUGUGGCCCACUACCAGUCUGGUUGCAGGAGGUGAUCAUCAGAGGCGGAACUGAAGUUACAAAGUUAGACAUGAAGACUUGGGCCACCACUCAUCUGAUUGGUUGCAGGAGGGGACCAAUCAGAGCUCUACCACCCCUGAGAAAGCAAGACCAACCCCUCCUCUGUCUCCUCCUCCUCAGCCUAUUCAACAUGAAGACAACAAGUAUAAAGACCUUUAUGAUGAUCCACUUCCACUCAAUGAAUAAUUUCAUCAGUAGGAAAAGAAGAGGAGCUGUGAUAUUGUUUGCUUCCAUCAACCCUCCCACAGCAUCUUUUUAAUAAUAUCUGAGACUAAUAAAAAGAUCUCGCUCUGAUGUCACCUUGGAGCCCUAGGUAUAAAACAUGAAGAAGUAAGCUCGGCAUUCACAAAAGAAAAAAGGAAUUUUGUAAUGUAAGUUAAUAAAUAGAACACUAGUGGAAAAUAGAGUCAGCCAUUGAUCAUUAUUUUGAAA
Molecule: long non-coding RNA, 535 nt
Organism: Cebus imitator (Panamanian white-faced capuchin)
Lineage: Eukaryota; Metazoa; Chordata; Mammalia; Primates; Cebidae
Exons: 3
Source: RefSeq, a predicted model, not a curated record